Molecule: long non-coding RNA, 2176 nt
Filed under: Sus scrofa (pig)
Lineage: Eukaryota; Metazoa; Chordata; Mammalia; Artiodactyla; Suidae
Description: lncRNA (ENSSSCG00035020296.1)
Source: RNAcentral
GGCGGCGGCGGCGGGGGGAUCGCUUCAGCCCGGGGCGCCGGGUCUCUGCUUGCAGCGGCCCAGGGUCUUCCCAGUGGGGGAGUGGGGACCCCAAGGCUGGUGGACUCGCACACACCUGGCAGAAGGGAAAGCCUGGAGCGAAUCCACGUCCAAAUCCUAAUGCUACUCUGGUCAUCGUACCUUGAUUAUUAUUUGCAUCCUGCGUUGGAAGUAAUGCCCGAAUCUAGUGUGCUGUGUGCUUCGUGACACAGGGGGGAGAAAUGCAGCUAAGUAAGUUGACUGCAGGCCACACCUGGCAGAGAGGACCGUUGAGGAGGGAGACCCAGAUGCCAGCCCCGGGGCAGGCAACAGGGACAGAGAUGGAACCUGUGCCACAGCAUCAACCUGAGCUGCUGCAGUGACAAUACUGGAUCCUUAAUCGACUCUGCCAUGAGGUCACUCCUGAACUGUCCUUAUUAUUUCCUUUGCGUUCAUUCUCCUAUCCAACCCAACCUAAAAUAGGAUUAUCCUUGUUGCAAAAGGGGUAGUGUAUAUACACCCACAUAUAAAAGUAUGUGCUCUGCCAGUUAGAGAACAAGAAUGCCUAAAGCUACUGAGAAAGAAAGAGGAGCAGCCUCUGCAUUCAGAAGCUGGCUGGGGGCUCCUGGCUGAGCUUGUGACUCUGCCAGUGAUGUAGACAAUCUCCCAGAAUACCUGCUUCGGACGAGGCUGCCCUGAGACUCAUGACAAAAAUCCAGCCGAGCAAGACCACUGCAUGAUGUGGGGAAAACACAGACAAAAGCGAGUCACUGUGCCACCCACAAAAUACCGAAUACCCUCUCUUAGCUGAAAUGAGCAACCACUAAUUCUUUACCAAUUACAGCUUUACCCUCAUCCUAGCUUCUCCUCCCUGUAGAAGAGAUUCAUUGAGACACCCAUCGUGGAAUUGCCCCACUUUCUUUCUUUUUCUUUUUCUUUUUUCGUUUUUUAGGGCCGUACCCGUGGCAUAUGCAAGUUUCCAGGUUGGGGUGAGACUGGAGCUACAGCUGCCUGCCUACACCACAGCCACAGCAGCACCAGAUCCAAGCUGCAUCUGUGACCUACACCACAGCUCACUGCAAUGCCAGAUCCUUAACCCACUGAGCGAGGCCAGGGAUCGAACCCAUGUCCUCAUAGAUACUAGUUGGGUUAGAUCCCACUGAGCCACGACUUUUUUUUUGGUCUUGUGCUACUUUCUAACAGCACGGCACCCAGUCUCGAGUGGAUCUCUGCUUCCUUAGACCCUCCUUAAGUCACCCAGCCACAGCCCAGCCCUCCAAAGCUUCCUCCCAGCGCCCUCUUACUGGACACCCUGAUUUCUCAUGGCCUGUGUUCUCCCGCCUGCAACAAGUGACAAGGCCUCCUUGUUCAACUGCAGGGGUGUUGCCAGUGGUCUUGGGCUGAUCUUGGGCUUGACACUGUGUUUACACAUUUCUGUGUGUGUUUUGUGUGUAUACCAUUGUAAACACUAUAGACAUUUAUAGAAAAUCAAGGUAGUAAGAAAAUCCAGACAAUUCAAGCUCCAAAAUAAACUUCUGCAACUGAUCUACCUGUAUAGAAUACCAUGUUCAAGUGAAAACACUCAGAUAAUUACAUAUUUUGCUUCAUGACAGCCUAAGCAAUCACCACACACCAGAAAAUUUCAAUAAUUUUAUGUCCUAGUUAUUCUCUAGUUAUACUUUGCUUUUGUAUAUAUGCUUUUAAUAUUUUCUACAGUGUAGUUUUGAGAUGUAUUUUUAAAUUUUUUUGUCUUUUUGUCCUUUUAGGGCCACACCCGCAGCAUAUGGAGGUUCCCAGGCUAGGGGUCUAAUCGGAGCUGUAGCCACUGGCCCACGCCAGAGCCACAGCAACGCGGGAUCCGAGCUGUGUCUGUGACCUACACCACAGCUCACGACAGCGCUGGAUCCUUAACCUGAGCAAGGCCAGGGAUCGAACCUGCAACCUCAUGGUUCCAAGUCGGAUUCAUUUCCCCUGCGUCACGACAGGAACUCCGAGAUGUAUUUUUAAAGCUAUGAAUUACUUAACUUUAAUAGGUUGAGAAGAGCCAGAAUGUUGGCUAUUUUUCAUUUAAGUAUUAAAUUAUAAAACAGGAUACAAACAUAUAGAGUAUGAUUACAACUAAGAAGAUAAUAAAAAUUAAAAAUUGGUGACUACCAUC